CCUACGGGAGGCAGCAGUGGGGAAUUUUGGACAAUGGGCGCAAGCCUGAUCCAGCCAUGCCGCGUGCGGGAAGAAGGCCUUCGGGUUGUAAACCGCUUUUGGCAGGAACGAAACGGCGCUCGCUAAUACCGGGCGCUAAUGACGGUACCUGCAGAAUAAGCACCGGCUAACUACGUGCCAGCAGCCGCGGUAAUACGUAGGGUGCAAGCGUUAAUCGGAAUUACUGGGCGUAAAGCGUACGCAGGCGGUCAUGUAAGACAGGUGGGAAAUCCCCGGGCUUAACCUGGGAACUGCAUUUGUGACUGCAUGGCUAGAGUUUGUCAGAGGGGGGUGGAAUUCCACGUGUAGCAGUGAAAUGCGUAGAGAUGUGGAGGAACACCGAUGGCGAAGGCGGCCCCCUGG
RNAcentral lists this ribosomal RNA (402 nucleotides) under uncultured Alcaligenaceae bacterium. RNAcentral's name for it is "partial 16S ribosomal RNA". It matches the Rfam family "Bacterial small subunit ribosomal RNA", at positions 338 to 732 of the family's 1533-position model. The record is from RNAcentral. Lineage: Bacteria; Pseudomonadati; Pseudomonadota; Betaproteobacteria; Burkholderiales; Alcaligenaceae.